RNAcentral lists this ribosomal RNA (305 nucleotides) under uncultured bacterium. Its description in RNAcentral is "bacterial SSU rRNA". It matches the Rfam family "Bacterial small subunit ribosomal RNA", at positions 331 to 653 of the family's 1533-position model. The record is from RNAcentral.
CCUUACCUACGGGGGGCAGCAGUGGGGAAUAUUGGGCAAUGGGCGCAAGCCUGACCCAGCAACGCCGCGUGAAGGAAGGAGGCUUUCGGGUUGUAAACUUCUUUUCUCAGGACGAAGCAAGUGACGGUACCUGAGGAAUAAGCCACGGCUAACUACGUGCCAGCAGCCGCGGUAAUACGUAGGUGGCAAGCGUUAUCCGGAUUUACUGGGUGUAAAGGGCGUGUAGGCGGGAAAGCAAGUCAGAUGUGAAAACCACGGGCUCAACCUGUGGCCUGCAUUUGAAACUGUUUUUCUUGAGUACUGGG